UCGAACGCGGUUACUCCGCAAGGGGUAACUGAGUGGCGAACGGGUGAGUAACACGUGGGUGACCUACCUUCGAGUGGGGGAUAACGUCCCGAAAGGGACGCUAAUACCGCAUAACAUCCUGCCUUUGAACAGGUGGCGAUCAAAGCCGGGGACCGCAAGGCCCGGCGCUUGAUGAGGGGCCCGCGUCCGAUUAGCUAGUUGGUGAGGUAACGGCUCACCAAGGCGACGAUCGGUAACCGGCCUGAGAGGGCGGACGGUCACACUGGGACUGAGACACGGCCCAGACUCCUACGGGAGGCAGCAGUGGGGAAUUGUUCGCAAUGGGCGCAAGCCUGACGACGCAACGCCGCGUGGAGGAUGAAGGUCUUCGGAUUGUAAACUCCUGUUGCCCGGGACGGAUAGCUCCGACCUAAUACGUCGGAGUCUGACGGUACCGGGUGAGGAAGCCCCGGCUAACUCUGUGCCAGCAGCCGCGGUAAUACAGAGGGGGCAAGCGUUGUUCGGAAUUACUGGGCGUAAAGGGCGCGUAGGCGGCCUGCUAAGUCGAACGUGAAAUCCCCGGGCUCAACCCGGGAACUGCGUCCGAUACUGGCAGGCUUGAAUUCGGGAGAGGGAUGCGGAAUUCCAGGUGUAGCGGUGAAAUGCGUAGAUAUCUGGAGGAACACCGGUGGCGAAGGCGGCAUCCUGGACCGAGAUUGACGCUGAGGCGCGAAA
Molecule: ribosomal RNA, 714 nt
Filed under: uncultured bacterium
Lineage: Bacteria
Description: bacterial SSU rRNA
Rfam family: Bacterial small subunit ribosomal RNA
Source: RNAcentral